This 484-nucleotide ribosomal RNA is filed under the name uncultured bacterium. Its description in RNAcentral is "partial 16S ribosomal RNA". It matches the Rfam family "Bacterial small subunit ribosomal RNA", at positions 30 to 507 of the family's 1533-position model. The record is from RNAcentral.
AUUGAACGCUGGCGGCAGGCCUAACACAUGCAAGUCGAGCGGAUGAAGGGAGCUUGCUCCUGGAUUCAGCGGCGGACGGGUGGGUAAUGCCUAGGAAUCUGCCUGGUAGUGGGGGAUAACGUCCGGAAACGGGCGCUAAUACCGCAUACGUCCUGAGGGAGAAAGUGGGGGAUCUUCGGACCUCACGCUAUCAGAUGAGCCUAGGUCGGAUUAGCUAGUUGGUGGGGUAAAGGCCUACCAAGGCGACGAUCCGUAACUGGUCUGAGAGGAUGAUCAGUCACACUGGAACUGAGACACGGUCCAGACUCCUACGGGAGGCAGCAGUGGGGAAUAUUGGACAAUGGGCGAAGGCCUGAUCCAGCCAUGCCGCGUGUGUGAAGAAGGUCUUCGGAUUGUAAAGCACUUUAAGUUGGGAGGAAGGGCAGUAAGUUAAUACCUUGCUGUUUUGACGUUACCAACAGAAUAAGCACCGGCUAACUUCGUG